This 70-nucleotide transfer RNA is filed under the name chicken gut metagenome. It matches the Rfam family "tRNA". From Rfam's summary of the family: Transfer RNA (tRNA) molecules are approximately 80 nucleotides in length. Their secondary structure includes four short double-helical elements and three loops (D, anti-codon, and T loops). The record is from RNAcentral.
GCGGGGUAGCUCAAUUGGAGAGAGCGAUUGCCUACGAAGCAAUAGGUUGUGAGUUCGAGUCCCACCCCCG